Long non-coding RNA from Mauremys reevesii (Reeves's turtle), 999 nucleotides. RefSeq lists it as uncharacterized. The transcript has 4 exons. The record is from RefSeq and is a predicted model, not a curated record. Lineage: Eukaryota; Metazoa; Chordata; Testudines; Geoemydidae.
CUGAUGUCAAGGUCAGUCCUCUGUGAGGUCACUAUCUCAGCAACCAUGCUAAAGAAGAUCAAAACAGGAGGGAGAGACCACUUAUGCUCAUGGUUAUAUGUUGUCAUAAAUUUGUCUUCAUGUGAUGAUGUGACAUUUCAUCAUCUUUUCUGAGAGAACAUGAUUGUGGAGAGGAGUUGGGAAGAUGUUGGAAGCGCUUUCUGAUUUCCCCUGGAGCAAGGGAAAUGGUCUUCAUACAGCAAAACGGAGACUGACACAAGGGCUCCCAGCUUGGAUAAUUCCUCUCUUAUAAGGUGCCAAUGCUUCUCCAUCUACUGCUAUAAGUGAAUUUAUUGCUGGUGAAAGAUACCAUAUUGACAGUACUGGAAAUUAAAAUGCUGCAUUUAUCCUUUAAAAAAGCAGGCCUUUUGGAAAUCCCCCACAAGCUAUUACUUCAGGCAGCUAUGCCAGGAACUGAAGGAUGGGUCCCCAGAGGGCAAUGCCACUACAAUGGUGAAGUACAGCCAAGUAUGGAGAAGGGGCACAGCUUCACAAAGAACAGCACUGUUCGGAUGGAUACUUGCACCAGUGGUAUCCCAUUGGUUCUGUGCUCAAGGGGAUGCAACCAGUGCUUGCCUGAGUGUAGCUGAAUGAAGACCGUGUUCAUUUUUAAACGUAAUAGUUGGUACUGGAUUCACUCACAAAUUGAUUUUUUUUCAUACCUGAUCUUUUUUUAACAUAAACAAACAAACAAACAAGCCAAGAAAAUGUGUUCCCAUGGAGCCUCUCACACACAUUACUAGCCUCUAGCUAAUUUUCACAUUCCUGUUUUGACCUCCCAGGAAUAAUGGUUUAUAACUGCAAUGCUUCAAGACUUUUAGAUAGGCAGGUGGUAGCAAAUCCAACCCCUUCUCUGUCAUGCUCAGCCCUCUGCAUCAAUCUGAUAUAUCAUCUUCACCCAGGGUAUUUCUACACUGCAAUUAAUCCACCCGCAGUGGGCCUGUGUCAGCUGACUCAAGC